GAUGAACGCUGGCGGCGUGCCUAAUACAUGCAAGUCGAGCGAACGGACGAGAAGCUUGCUUCUCUGAUGUUAGCGGCGGACGGGUGAGUAACACGUGGAUAACCUACCUAUAAGACUGGGAUAACUUCGGGAAACCGGAGCUAAUACCGGAUAAUAUUUUGAACCGCAUGGUUCAAAAGUGAAAGACGGUCUUGCUGUCACUUAUAGAUGGAUCCGCGCUGCAUUAGCUAGUUGGUAAGGUAACGGCUUACCAAGGCAACGAUGCAUAGCCGACCUGAGAGGGUGAUCGGCCACACUGGAACUGAGACACGGUCCAGACUCCUACGGGAGGCAGCAGUGGGGAAUCUUCCGCAAUGGGCGAAAGCCUGACGGAGCAACGCCGCGUGAGUGAUGAAGGUCUUCGGAUCGUAAAACUCUGUUAUUAGGGAAGAACAUAUGUGUAAGUAACUGUGCACAUCUUGACGGUACCUAAUCAGAAAGCCACGGCUAACUACGUGCCAGCAGCCGCGGUAAUACGUAGGUGGCAAGCGUUAUCCGGAAUUAUUGGGCGUAAAGCGCGCGUAGGCGGUUUUUUAAGUCUGAUGUGAAAGCCCACGGCUCAACCGUGGAGGGUCAUUGGAAACUGGAAAACUUGAGUGCAGAAGAGGAAAGUGGAAUUCCAUGUGUAGCGGUGAAAUGCGCAGAGAUAUGGAGGAACACCAGUGGCGAAGGCGACUUUCUGGUCUGUAACUGACGCUGAUGUGCGAAAGCGUGGGGAUCAAACAGGAUUAGAUACCCUGGUAGUCCACGCCGUAAACGAUGAGUGCUAAGUGUUAGGGGGUUUCCGCCCCUUAGUGCUGCAGCUAACGCAUUAAGCACUCCGCCUGGGGAGUACGACCGCAAGGUUGAAACUCAAAGGAAUUGACGGGGACCCGCACAAGCGGUGGAGCAUGUGGUUUAAUUCGAGGCAACGCGAAGAACCUUACCAAAUCUUGACAUCCUUUGACAACUCUAGAGAUAGAGCCUUCCCCUUCGGGGGACAAAGUGACAGGUGGUGCAUGGUUGUCGUCAGCUCGUGUCGUGAGAUGUUGGGUUAAGUCCCGCAACGAGCGCAACCCUUAAGCUUAGUUGCCAUCAUUAAGUUGGGCACUCUAAGUUGACUGCCGGUGACAAACCGGAGGAAGGUGGGGAUGACGUCAAAUCAUCAUGCCCCUUAUGAUUUGGGCUACACACGUGCUACAAUGGACAAUACAAAGGGCAGCGAAACCGCGAGGUCAAGCAAAUCCCAUAAAGUUGUUCUCAGUUCGGAUUGUAGUCUGCAACUCGACUACAUGAAGCUGGAAUCGCUAGUAAUCGUAGAUCAGCAUGCUACGGUGAAUACGUUCCCGGGUCU
This 1372-nucleotide ribosomal RNA is filed under the name uncultured bacterium. Its description in RNAcentral is "bacterial SSU rRNA". It matches the Rfam family "Bacterial small subunit ribosomal RNA", at positions 28 to 1381 of the family's 1533-position model. The record is from RNAcentral.